AGAAUCAACGCUGGCGGCGUGCCUAACACAUGCAAGUCGAACGAGAAAGGGGAGCAAUCCCUGAGUAAAGUGGCGCACGGGUGAGUAACACGUGACUAACCUACCCUGGAGUGGGGGAUAACUGAGGGAAACCUUAGCUAAUACCGCAUAAUACCCACGGGUCAAAGGAGCAAUUCGCUCGAGGAGGGGGUCGCGGCCGAUUAGUUAGUUGGCGGGGUAAUGGCCCACCAAGACGAUGAUCGGUA
Molecule: ribosomal RNA, 245 nt
Filed under: uncultured bacterium
Lineage: Bacteria
Description: partial small subunit ribosomal RNA
Rfam family: Bacterial small subunit ribosomal RNA
Source: RNAcentral